CCGACGAGGGGCAGGAGGCGGGGGUAGUAGGUAUGGGCGGAGCGUUGUCCGGAUGGAUGGGGCGGAAAGAGCACGUAGGCGGUUCGGCAAGUGGGAUGUGAAAUCUCCACGCUCAACGUGGGGGGGCCAGUCGAAACUGCCGUGACUCGAGUCCGGUAGGGGAGGGGGGAAUUCCCGGUGUAGCGGUGAAAUGCGCAGAUAUCGGGAGGAACACCAGUAGCGAAGGCGGCACUCUGGGCCGGUACUGACGCUGAGGAGCGAAAGCGUGGGGAGCGAACAGGAUUAGAUACCCUAGUAGUC
This 300-nucleotide ribosomal RNA is filed under the name uncultured Halogeometricum sp. RNAcentral's name for it is "bacterial SSU rRNA". The stretch from base 57 to 300 matches the Rfam family "Bacterial small subunit ribosomal RNA", at positions 553 to 795 of the family's 1533-position model. The record is from RNAcentral. Lineage: Archaea; Methanobacteriati; Methanobacteriota; Halobacteria; Halobacteriales; Haloferacaceae.